This 781-nucleotide long non-coding RNA is filed under the name Nicotiana tabacum (common tobacco). RNAcentral describes it as "long non-coding RNA (NTAB_LNC001483)". The record is from RNAcentral. Lineage: Eukaryota; Viridiplantae; Streptophyta; Magnoliopsida; Solanales; Solanaceae.
ACCAGUAUAAUGCGGGAAUACAUUUUGUCUGUUCAUUCCAUAUUCUAGGUCGCCCACAAGUAUAAAUGCAGGCAUGUCAUUACCAAUAGGAGACGCACUUCCUCAGUUUAGUUUGCAUGAGACGCACUUCCGGAAUUGAGAUUUCACCCUUAGGAGAUGCACUUCCUAGUUUGAUUCAUUUUAAGUUCGACCAUAGGAGACGCACUUCCUAGUUUAGUUCAUUUCGAUUCGACCAUAGGAGACACACUUCCUAGUUUGAGUCAUUGAGGUUUUAUUUUAGCAGACGCAUUUGCUAGCAAAAGUUUUUGGUUUUACUCGUAGGAGAUGCACAUCCUAGCCUAGUCUUUAGUUUACUCAUCAUUGCAUCAGUAGUGUAAAUGAGUUACAAUUUUGCUAACGACUCACGAAUCUUCCCUGCACGAACUGGGUUAGGAAAUUUUGUUUGUUUUGUUUGUUUUGGUUGUCAGGGACCCGCCUGUAGAACGGAGGUUGUUGUAUGUCAAAGAAAAGAAGUAAUCAGGCGUCCACCUGGAGAACAAGGACAAAGAAAAGAAGUAAUCAGGCGUCCACCUGGAGAACAAGGACAAAGAAAGGAAGAAAUCAGGCGUCCACCUGGAGAACAAGGACAAAGAAAGGAAGUAAUCAGGCGUCCACCUGGAGAACAAGGACAAAGGAAGGAAGAAAUCAGGCGUCCACCUGGAGAACAAGGAUAAAUAAAAGAAAUAGAAAUCAGGCGCCCACCUGGAGAAUAAGGGAAUACAAUUGAAGUAUUGAAGUCAAA